Long non-coding RNA from Triticum dicoccoides, 3434 nucleotides. RefSeq lists it as uncharacterized. The transcript has 7 exons. The record is from RefSeq and is a predicted model, not a curated record. NCBI's taxonomy places the organism in Eukaryota, Viridiplantae, Streptophyta, Magnoliopsida, Poales, Poaceae.
AACCCUGCCGUCGAAAGCCCCUCGGCCCAAUCCAAUCGCCCGCACUCUGCAACCCUCCCUCCCUCCUCGAUCUCUCUCCCUCAGCCGCCACAAACCCUAGGUCCCUUUCCUACGAUCCCGUGGUCGCUGCUCCUGCUCCAUCCGACCUUCGUGGAGGGCCCGAUCCGCGCCGACGCCGUGCCGGCGGCGGCCGGGGCGGGCGUGGAGAGGGCCGAUGCGGCGGCCGCGGGCGGGGCGGCGGCAGCCAACGCCAGGGAGGACGGGGUCAGGGAGUACAAGAGUGACGUGCGGAACCCCUCCGCAGAGGAGUUCGUGCCGCUCUCCCGCCGCCAGGGGGACGGCGCAUGCCGCCUGUCGGCCGACGCGCCCGUCUUCAUCUCGCCCGCGAUCGACUACUAUGUUCCUCCGUCCACUGACUUUGUCCAUGCAGGUGGCCAGUUUCCUUCCGUUCCAACCUUCUCCACGGUCUCCCCAAUUCAUCCUUCGUCCCUUGCUGCUCGAGAUUCUCAUCUGCUCAGGCCGCGAGGAAGCCACAUGAGGAGGAGACACCUCGCCCCGAGAAUCCCGAGAGGAGGGGCUCAACCAGAGAGGAGCAGAUGCCAGCCAGGUAGUCGGCUCGGCACGACAUCAUCCUUCGUGUCUGGCCCGCAGCAGACCCUAGCGCUGUCCUUUAGGUGUCUUCACGGCUGCAGGAGUGUAUGUGUUAAGCUUCAGGCUGAUGUAUUGGUUGAGAUCGAGGAGAGAGCAAGCCGUUGCAGAGGAGAGGGGAUACGAGGGUGGGCGGAGGUCAGGCAUUGCUAACAGAUUUGAGGCGGAGUGGGAAAGGUGAAGGUGAUGCCAGCCGGCUGGCGCCUCACCACUGGCUCCUGUUUUGCAGCAGCAAAGAGAAAGGUGCCGAGGAUGUGUUGCUCUAUGCACGGCUGUCAGAAGUACGUCCUUGCUAUGAUGUAUUUUUCUAUGGCUUUCUCCAUUAGAAUAUUUCUCCUCAACGACCAUAUCAACCUGUCUGGUGUUUGCACAUGUCAUUUUGCUUGAGGUUACCGCCAUUCCACCUCUUCCUUGUGAUGGUAUAGGAGUACAUACUAAUUUGAUAAACAAGAGGCGAAGUUGCCAACGCCUGAGAUAGUGGUUCCUACCUAUGGCCUUCGCACCUUUAGUUCCGCAAGUAGUUCAGCAACUCAAAUGUCCAGCGAUUUGCUUUCUCCUUGGUUUACACUGGCUGCAGCCUCCUAUUUGUGACGUCGUAGCCCCAAAGGUGAGUUGAGUUGCUACUUGGUUGGAGAUGUUGAUGUCGUUUGAGAUGCCCGCUGGAUUCACCCUUUUCAAGGUUCUGAAUAAGGGCAAGCUCGACAAGGUCGAGUGGUACAGGUGUGAUCUUCAUGGAGCUAGCGAUCAUUGGAUUUGGUAAUACAUAUUCACUUAUUCAGAGAGCCCAAGGUGAGAAGGGACGAGCAUCUAGAACAUCACCACCUACUUAUCAGUGAGCUACUAUCUGUCUUUGAAUAAGUUACUUAACAAGAGAAGGCAGGUAGCAAUAGAACACGUGCAAUCUCAAUGUUUACUAAUUAUCUAUUUCUGAAUUUAUUCGUUCCCAGCUGCUCUGAAUCUAGGUGUUUUGCUUACUGCUUUGUAGGAGUUUCCUACCUUUCUUCUGCAAAUCUGGAAUGCCUUUAUGGCAUGAUCAUGUGAAAAAAGUACCUUCAUGCAGUAAUGGAUUUGAUUAUCACUAGUUACUCUGUUUUCACGAAUUAUACCCUAAGGCCCAUGUAAAUCUGAUAGAAGAUUAAGCUAUUUAAUUUUAACUAAAAAGGAUAAUAUUCUUUCAGUCGCUUGACUCUGUCCAGACCUGAAAAAUACUUAUACUUUGAAAGCUUGAUAUAUGAGUAUGUAAUUUUACAGGUAUUUAGAUAGCCGACAAUGUUAUUGUUCAAAUGUACUCGAGCCAGGUUUUCGGUGUUUCAUUGCAACCAAAAGAAUUGGUAAUAUUGUUUUGAUGAAAACAUGGUCGCACUUGUCGGUGUUGUAGUGGCAUAGGAAAUUUUUCCCUAAGAUCCACUAUGAAGUUGAUUGAAAGUCCAUUUUCCCUAAGAUCCACUAUGAUAAUGAAAAAGAUUUCUAAAAACUGUGUCACCAUAAAUGUUCCAUCAUUGUCCAUAGCAGUCCCAUGCCAUAUUAAUUUCAGAAGAAUAAAUUCUUAUUCAGAUGUUCAUUGUGUUUUUAUGUACUGCUAUAUCUAAAAAAGCAAGUUUCAGCUAAAACCAGAGCCGUGGUUAAGAUACUCUUCGCACCUAUGCUCAGAUUGCUAACUUUAAACUAUAGUUUUAGAAAAUGUGGUGCCCUCACUUAUUUUUCUAAUGCAUGAACUUAGGGUAAAUGUUUUAUGUGUAAUGCGUGCUUGAUUUCUUUUUGAUUCUGGUGGAUUUUGAUUUUCUCCACCAUGCUUCUCUCCAAUGGGAUGAGUCUGUUUUCACAAUGCAUGUGCUUAUUGUUGGCUGUUGCUAUGUGGUAUGCAUUUUCUCAUUGUUGGUUGUUUGUUGUUUGUUGUUUGCUAUGAUUAAGAUACAUUGGCAUGUACAUUUUAUAUCAGUUUUGUUUUCAACGCCACCUAUCACUGUAUUAUUUGCCGUUAAUAGAGUAGUUUCUCCUUUAUUCCAUUGCAUAAUGCUAGCAGAAAAAUAAUCCUCUUCCAAGGUUAAACCUGUUUUUUCCUUCUAGCAAAGAUCUUCUCUGGAAAAGAUCAAUUAUGUUAGCCUAUAAUAUUGCAGUUCUUUCGUAUCCUUCAAAGAUUUAUAAAUAUUUUCUGUUUCCACUCCCUUCGUUCUCAUGGAUUCUGAAAAAAAAAUGUUUUUGUUGAUUAAUAAUAUUGCUUUCCCUUUCAGUAUUGUGGUGGUCGAUGCAUGUAGAAUAUACAAACUUUCCUAGAAUGGCGCAUUUUAGUUUUUCUGCCUGAUGUUAGUUCACUGUUGAGAACACCUAUGUACAUGAUUGCUGCAUGCAUGAUAUCCUACUAUAUACUGAGAAAUAUUUUUGUUUUCCGGACAUUGUUUUCUAAAUCCUAUCGACAUAUUACCUGACAUGGUCUUUGAAGUUUCUAUUUUAUAGCGAGCUUUGCACUGGUCAACUUGAGUAUGGUAUGGUUAUCUUUUCUUUUGUUUACAGGCGAUGUGUGGUAGAAGCUGUACUCACAGGAAGACUAUCGUGCUGUGUAUAGACCACGUUCUACGAUUCACUUAUGUUAUGCAUAUUUACUUUUCAGUUUUAGGACUGAAAUCCAUCCAUUGUAAUGAAUUUGGUUGUAUGGGCAUUACCUAUUUGACUUAGGCUUGCUUCAUCACAUAUAGACUGCUUUUCUUUUCCCCAUUGCUUGUAUGACCUAAAACUAUCAUGUAUAUGAGGCAAGUUAUUGGCAAUGUUUCACAUUUUCUUACUUGCAA